RNAcentral lists this ribosomal RNA (373 nucleotides) under uncultured bacterium. RNAcentral's name for it is "bacterial SSU rRNA". It matches the Rfam family "Bacterial small subunit ribosomal RNA", at positions 26 to 382 of the family's 1533-position model. The record is from RNAcentral.
AGAGCGAACGCUGGCGGCGUACUUAACACAUGCAAGUCGAACGAGGAUCGCUGCCUGAGCAAUCAGGCGUCGGUUCUAGUGGCGCACGGGUGAGUAACACGUGGGCAACCUGCCCUGGAGCCUGGGAUACCCUCUCGAAAGGGAGGCUAAUACCGGAUACGUUCCUCGGGUCGCGAGAUCCGGGGAGGAAAGGUGGCGCAAGCUGCCGCUCUUGGAGGGGCUCGCGGCCUAUCAGCUAGUUGGUGAGGUAAUGGCUCACCAAGGCUAUGACGGGUAGCUGGUCUGAGAGGACGACCAGCCACACGGGGACUGAGACACGGCCCCGACUCCUACGGGAGGCAGCAGUGGGGAAUUUUCCGCAAUGGGCGAAAGC